UAGACUACAGAAAUAGAUUGG
RNAcentral lists this non-coding RNA (21 nucleotides) under Caenorhabditis elegans. The record is from RNAcentral. Lineage: Eukaryota; Metazoa; Nematoda; Chromadorea; Rhabditida; Rhabditidae.